This 468-nucleotide ribosomal RNA is filed under the name uncultured bacterium. RNAcentral's name for it is "partial 16S ribosomal RNA". It matches the Rfam family "Bacterial small subunit ribosomal RNA", at positions 28 to 507 of the family's 1533-position model. The record is from RNAcentral.
GACGAACGCUGGCGGCGUGCUUAACACAUGCAAGUCGAACGGAAAGGCCCUGCUUUUGUGGGGUGCUCGAGUGGCGAACGGGUGAGUAACACGUGAGUAACCUGCCCUUGACUUUGGGAUAACUUCAGGAAACUUGGGCUCAUACCGGAUAGGAGCUCCUGCUUCAUGGUGGGGGUUGGAAAGUUUCGGCGGUUGGGGAUGGACUCGCGGCUUAUCAGCUUGUUGGUGGGGUAGUGGCUUACCAAGGCUUUGACGGGUAGCCGGCCUGAGAGGGUGACCGGCGACAUGGGGACUGAGAUACGGCCCAGACGGCUACGGGAGGCAGCGGUGGGGAGUAUUGCACAAUGGGCGGAAGCCAGAUGCAGAAACGCCGCGUGCGGGAUGACGGCCUGCGGGUUGUAAACCGCUUUCGCCUGUGACGAAGCGUGAGUGACGGUAAUGGGUAAAGAAGCACCGGCUAACUACGUG